AUAUAAGGAUAAGUUGAAGCACAAACACGUAUUUUUCUUUCUUCUUUCUCCACCAUCGUGUUUCUCAUUCCUCCCAUGGCUAAAAUCUCCAUUUUCAAUCUCUCUUCAAUUCUCCAACAAUCAAGUGUUGCAUGCCUUUUUGGUUGAACACAUGAUCAUUAGAAACACAUCAAAGGUUCAACUUCAGUUCCUAUUUCUUCUCUUUCUCCUAUGGCCGAAAAUCCAUUCUCCAUGGCCAAAUUCUGUUUUCUCUCAAAUUGAACCUUGCAUGUACCAAAUUCUUGCUCCUCCUCAUUAUUGGGUACCGUUAUGUAGCAAAGGUAAGAAGAAUGAACUCACUUUAUCUCUAAUUCUUUCUAAUUAGUUGAACCCUAAAAUCCCAUUUUUGUUGAAGUCCCAUUUUCCCCAAUUUUCAUAACUCUUUUUCACUCUUGAAGCUUUUAUUCAUGAAUUUUACUUUGGGUUUGAAUAUUUCAUAUGUUGGAAAAUUCAUGUAAAAUUCGUAUGGACCUACUGCUAGUAUUUCCAUCAUAAAUUCCACCCUGUAACUUGGAUUUAAACGACGAUUGAAUUUUCAUAAUCUAAACGAAAUUACCUUCAGUUUAGCCAUUCGUUUUGUAGCAUUUGGUUUAGUAACGAGCUCUGAAAACGUGUUUGAAGUUGGAGCACUGAUGGAGAGUUUGUGCAGAAUUCGUGUUAGAAUAGGUCUGCACUCAAACGGUAAAUAAUCCUUCUCUGUAAUUCCGUUUGGAUUGAUUUUUAAUGAUUUGGAAAGCUAACUCAAUUACGGUCGUUGUGGUACCGGUUUCAUAAUUUUUGGACGAGAAAUGAGGUCAUAGGAAUUGUCGGUAGUAUUGUUCAAGCAUCUUUUCAUGUGGGUUUCUUUAAGUAGAGACAUGGCAACCAUAAGACCAAAACAUAGGAUUUUUAUUUAGGGUAAAUAGGGUUUUAUCCCCUGCAAAAUAGGUGAAUUUUGCAUUAUCCUGCAAAAUAUAUUUUUUGGAUUAGCCCUGUAAUAUGAAGAUUCUAUUAAUUCCCCCUGAUGUUACAACAAGGCAGAUGAUUGUAUCAGAAUCUUGAUGUGGCAUGCUUAGUGGCUUUUAUUUCAUUUUUGAUUAAUUU
This 1122-nucleotide long non-coding RNA is filed under the name Trifolium pratense (red clover). RNAcentral describes it as "long non-coding RNA (TPRA_LNC014098)". The record is from RNAcentral. Lineage: Eukaryota; Viridiplantae; Streptophyta; Magnoliopsida; Fabales; Fabaceae.